UCUGAAGGACCGGCCGCGCGGCGCCGCUCCAGCCUCGAGCGCCCCACGGCGCGCUUUGUGACGCAGCGCGCGUCAGUCGCCGCCCGGGCUGGGGUCGGCUCCCUGGGUCGAGCUGGGCUGCAGCCACGCCGAAGCCUUCGCUCUCCGUACCCUUUUCCCACGGUCCCUUCGUGCUCACAGACAGCGCCCGGGAACCCAGCGUAGCGAGCUUUUAGCGCGCGAGCACAGCCCGGUCACGCCGGCGCCCCGGGGCGCGUGACCGGAGUCUCCGAGUAUUUAAGUGGAAGUCUGAGCUGGGUGCCAACUCCUAAGCUCUGCUUGAUCGCUCUCUCGGAACCCUAGGCUAAGAGACGUCUCGGGUUCCACGGAUCUUUUGUGUGUGCGCUUCCUCCCGUUCUCCGGCUGGCCUCGAAUUGGAAAUCGUCCUGGCUCUACUUUUCAACUACUGAGAUGACAGAUGUGUGCCACCAUACCUGGUCAGUUUCUUGAUGAUACAACUAUCUAAAAUGUUUAUUGUGUCCCCCACUUACCAGGAGGACAGAAAGCUAUCUGAUUUGUUUCCUUCUGUCUCUGGUAGGAGAAACAUAAUCUGACACUUACUAAACAAUACUGGUUUUUGAAAGAGCUCUUAGAACAAAGCUUUAGUCGUGCUUCCAAAUUUAAACAUAUCUUUAUUACUUUUCUCAUUGAUGAUGAUGGACUGAGCCUCAGAACCUGUAAACCAACCCCAAUAAAUGCCCUUUAAAAGA
This is a long non-coding RNA of Mastomys coucha (southern multimammate mouse), 749 nucleotides long. RefSeq lists it as uncharacterized. The transcript is spliced from 2 exons. Lineage: Eukaryota; Metazoa; Chordata; Mammalia; Rodentia; Muridae. The record is from RefSeq and is a predicted model, not a curated record.